GAGGCGUGUUCCUCUUCCUAUGUCUCCCUGACUGUAGGAGCGAUCUCUCUUUGAGUCGGCAUGGAAGAAGGAGAAGGACAUCGUUUCCAAGGAGAUAGAGAAGCUCCGCACGUCCAUCCAGACCCUGUGCAAGAGUGCACUUCCUCUGGGGAAGAUCAUGGACUACAUCCAGGAAGACGUGGAUGCCAUGCAGAAUGAGCUGCAGCUGUGGCACAGCGAGAACAGGCAGCACGCCGAGGCCCUGCAGCAGGAGCAGAGUAUCACAGACUGUGCCGUGGAGCCCUUAAAGGCUGAGCUCGCGGAGCUGGAGCAGCUGAUCAAAGACCAGCAAGACAAGAUCUGCGCUGUAAAGGCCAACAUCCUCAAGAAUGAAGAAAAAAUCCAGAAAAUGGUAUAUAGUAUCAAUUUGACUUCGAGAAGGUGAACACUCAAAAGUUUCGGAGAUGAAAAGUCACCUCAGUUUAAAAGCAAAAAGG
This 476-nucleotide small RNA is filed under the name Pongo abelii (Sumatran orangutan). Its description in RNAcentral is "retained intron". Lineage: Eukaryota; Metazoa; Chordata; Mammalia; Primates; Hominidae. The record is from RNAcentral.